AACCAGAUGCUCCGCAGGGCGCAGCUUUAUACGACCGCAGAGGUUGAACCCUGAAUGGUUGGGGCAAGUAUGGACACAACAUUCAAGCUGGAUUCAGCUCUAAAUUUGGAUUGUGAUGAAAUAGUUGACACAGCAUAGGUUUCUGACACAGAAUGAAUGUGGUCUAAUGAACUUAAAAUAUUGUUUUUGCCUUUGAGCAAUUCACUAUGCUGUUGAAUAUUAAUCCUCUCAAAAAAUGUUUGAAGAAAUUUUCUUUUUAUUUAUGAAAUCUGAAAUGAGAAAAAUUUAACCCCCCCAUUUUUUUUUCACAUCCCCCUUUCCCUUUUUCUAAAACUGAUUUCAAUUCAAAUUUCUAAUGGAGUUUGCAACAAUAACUACUCAUCUAAAUACAUCAUAAAAUAUUAAAAUGUAAAAUAAAGUGCUUGUUAUCACUGAAUGGUAAAGAUUGUUUUAAUUUAUCAGUUGGUAGUAAAAGUGAAUAUACAUUGUAUAUUGUAUAAAACAAUAAUUUAAGUUGAUUCAACUACUAUUCUGGACAAAGAAAGAUAACUCCAAUUGAAAAUUUCUUGCUAUUGCACAAUAUU
Molecule: long non-coding RNA, 584 nt
Filed under: Mytilus galloprovincialis (Mediterranean mussel)
Lineage: Eukaryota; Metazoa; Mollusca; Bivalvia; Mytilida; Mytilidae
Source: RNAcentral